GGCCGCAGGACAACCGUUCAUCUGGCACGAGAUAGCGACACGUGGUGGGUUGACCGACCAGGUGGGAUAGGCAGAGACGGUGCUUUUUGUCGCUUCCCCGUUCCCCUCCCUCCCUCUCCUCCCGCACGGCGACAGGGCGAGAUAAAUCGAUUCGUAUGCGAGCGUCGCCGGCGACCGACGACAAGCGGCGGACCGGCGAAGCGAGCGCCACAUCAGGGGAAGGUGGUCACCAGCAAGUCCACGGGGCGGGGGGUGGGUGUGGUGAGUUGCUCGCGAGCGCGACCAGGGAGAAGAGGGAGUUGGGCGUGGCGGCGGCCGACGGGGGACGAGGCUCUCUGCUACGUGCACGAACAGAGGCAACACAGGGAGAGAUAAGAGGCAAAAAUACUGCAUUAUAUUUUCAUCAUAUGUGUGUUCAGUAGGCAAAUUCUGUGUAAUAUAUGCGCUUAGCAGGCAAUAUUGUCGAAUGCGCACUCAUUUAGGCCCAAUUCUCAGAUCUCUGGAAAUACAGAUUGGCGAGUGUUGCUGAAAUCGAGAAAUUUCCAGAGAAAGACUCAAAUUCCGACAGACAAUCAACAGCUAGAGAAGUCAAGUGCAAGACAUAGGCAACAUAAAAUUUCAAGAGCCAGCAUCUUCUCUAUCAUCCAGUUCUACAGGGAAGAGGGGAGGCAAGAACAUGAGGGGGAGAUUUUGUGCAAGAUCAAGUUUCGCAGCACAUGGUACAGGAGGCAUUUUUGCAGCUUGUAUAUCACACAGGGAUGUACAGAGGUGGAGUUCCACUAGCUCUAGAACUAACAGAAUCAUGCCCAAAAAUUAGGGAGGGCCUUUUUACCUUGGUGUGUUCACGUGAAGAAAUUUGCCCAGUUCUGAAAAAUUCUUUGCUGAAGUUUCUCCAUAGUAUUGCCUAAUCCGCAACAAAGAGUUGCAGACAAAAUUGCGUU
Molecule: RNA transcript, 941 nt
Organism: Triticum dicoccoides
Lineage: Eukaryota; Viridiplantae; Streptophyta; Magnoliopsida; Poales; Poaceae
Exons: 3
Source: RefSeq, a predicted model, not a curated record